Molecule: ribosomal RNA, 37 nt
Filed under: Erica paniculata
Lineage: Eukaryota; Viridiplantae; Streptophyta; Magnoliopsida; Ericales; Ericaceae
Also listed under: 1 other name
Description: partial 28S ribosomal RNA
Source: RNAcentral
AACUGCGACCCCAGGUCAGGCGGGAUUACCCGCUGAG